AAAGUCGUAACAAGGUCUCCGUAGGUGAACCUGCGGAGGGAUCAUUAACAUAUGGUCGAAACCAUGUCAAGAUGCUUUAUCGGCUCUUGGCAUUCGACUUUCUCACACCCAUGAACCUUUUUGUAUCACCACCCCUCACCUUGUGAUCUUGUUCCAUAUUAAUGGUUACCCCUCUGAAAUCGAGAUACCACUCCUAGCAAUGGAUCUCUUGACUUCC
RNAcentral lists this unclassified non-coding RNA (217 nucleotides) under Ascomycota sp. Its description in RNAcentral is "partial contains small subunit ribosomal RNA and internal transcribed spacer 1". The stretch from base 1 to 47 matches the Rfam family "Eukaryotic small subunit ribosomal RNA", at positions 1785 to 1831 of the family's 1831-position model. The record is from RNAcentral. Lineage: Eukaryota; Fungi; Ascomycota.